Molecule: long non-coding RNA, 29639 nt
Filed under: Olea europaea (common olive)
Lineage: Eukaryota; Viridiplantae; Streptophyta; Magnoliopsida; Lamiales; Oleaceae
Description: long non-coding RNA (OEUR_LNC008534)
Source: RNAcentral
UUUGCAUCUGUGUCUUGAAGAUUUUUAUUGCAUUCUUAUCUUUAACCUUUAAUUUAUUAACACAUCUUGUCUUUGAUAAUUGUUUAUGUUCUAAUAUUUCGUUAGCGUGAGGAAAAAUAUUUUUUCUAAGUUUUAUGUUUGUGAUCUAUUUACUUAAAGUCCCGUUUGGUAGUCAUUUUUUUUCAAAAUAAAUUUUUCUCUUUCUUUUUUUCAACAACACAUUCUUUAUUUCUCAACAACACAUUUCAUAUCAAUUUACUAUUCUAAAAUAUAUUUUUACAUAAAAAUGUCUAUCAAACAUCCCUUUAAAAAUACAAUGGACAAAUAACUCUUUUCACUCCAUUAUUAAGAUUUUUUGCUUGACAUCUGGGUUGUGGUAACAAUUAAUAGAAGAUUGAAGAUAAAAAUAUGACCAAAAAAAGUAGGGACAUCAGUGCAAAAAUGAAUAAAAGUUAAGAACUUUCACAGCAAUUAAAUGCAAUGCUACUUUUGUUAAAAAGUGUGAAAUAUAAUUAAUUAAAGGUGUGGUGCAACAAAAAAGUCGUGGCAAUAUAACAACCCAAAAUAUCAGAUAUUGAAGAAACAUUUUUGAAUGAUAAUGUGCUCCCUAAUAUUUUCAAGGGUUUUGUUAUUUGUACACCUGGGUUAACAUUCCAGUGUAUAGCCUUCUAACAAUUGAUGGGAAGGGGAAAAUCGUGGGCUCCCCAUUGUGAGGGCAUGUACACCGUGUGUGUAUGCAUAGCAAAACCCCCAUAUUUUUAAUUCUUAAUUUUUUUCUUUUUUGUUAAUAUAAUAAUGAUGGUUAUAAUCCUAAUUGCCCAAAAAUAAUAAGAAAACCUAUAACCAGAAAUAUCAUGGAUAAGGUGUCUGGACAUCUCUCAUCGGAGGGAGCAAAAUUCCCAAAACCAUUAAAACCGAAUCAGACCGAUCCAUUAAGUUUAGAUUUGUUCCUUCACAUAAAAAAAAAACAAAAAAAACAAAAACAAAAAAACAUAAAAAUAAAAUAAAAUUGUUUUGGUCAUUUAGUGGGUACUCAGCCUGCAUCGAAGUUGUAUUUUUUAUUUAUUUAUUUAUUAUUUUAUUUUAUUUUUGGAAGAAUGCGUAAUUAAAAAGUAGAGAAAUGUUAUUGGAUCUACGUGAAAUUAUUUUAUUAAGAGAAUGUGAUUAAAAAUAAGUUUGGAGAAAAGAUGAGUUUUAAAGAAUCUUUAUAAUAUGUGGCAAUUCAAAACCUGGGUUGACACACGGGUGUAUGCAUUUCGGGGUGCGUACAAAUAGCAAAACCCUCUAUUUUCAAUUCUUAAUUUUUUCUUUUAGUUAAUAUUAUAAUAAGAGUUAUAAUCCUAAUUACCCAAAAAUAAUAAGAAAAACUAUAACAAGAAAUAACAUGAAUAAGUUUUCUGGACAUCUCUCGUGGGAGGGGGCAAAAUUCCCAAAACCAUUGGAACCGAAUCAGGUUCAUCCAUUUGGUUUGGAUUUGUUCCUUCACUUAAAUAAUAAUAAUUUUGGUCAUUUUUGGGGGUUCUUGGCCUGCGUCGAAGUACCUUUUUUUGGGAAGAAUGUGUAGUUAAAAAGUAAAGAGAGGUAAUUGGAUCUACAUGUGAAAUUAUUUUAUUAAGAGAAUGUAUGAUUAAAAAUGGGUUUGGUAAAGAAUUUUAAUAAGACAUGAGUUCUCUCUCAUUUCUAUUUCUCUUCAUAUAUUGUUAAAGCCACACCUAAUUUCUCAGAGAGUAGGGAAGAAUGUAAUGCUUUUCGAGAAAUUUUAAAAUUUCUGUCCAUAUCCCUUUAUGGCGCUUUGUUCUUCCAUAAUAGUUCCUUUCAAUUAGGUAAAAAUAGUGUUUGUGAUGACUAAGUACUUUGGCAUAUGAAUUUUGUUUUCAGAAAAAUUCAUUCACUAGUUUUUUCUUUCAGGUUGGAUCUAUAUUUUCAGUUGUCGGAGUUGCAUAUUUUUGAAACGAGCUAGUAGAAUUUUAUUUAUUUAUUUAUUUAUUUAUUUAUUUAUUAUUAUUAUUAUUAUUAUAAUAUUUUUUUUAUGUAUUUGUUUGGUUUGUAAUUGUGGUAUACAUUGUGAAGAUUUUGUUUCUGUAAAUUUGUGUAAUUUGAAAAUAAGAAUGCCCUCUCAAUGUUUUGGUUUGUUUAGAUUACAUAGGCUUACCAAAUUAUUUUUCUUAUAGAAUGAGAUUGAAUUUCACAACUUUCCCCGUCACUGAAAAUUUUAACAGCACAAAAGAAUUUGCAAUACUAUUGAUAAUUAAAAGUUAUUACAUUUGUGCUCAAUAUUUUCUGCUAUGAAAAUGAUGUAACAAUUUCCAUGAAGUAACAAAUUCUACUGAGUGAUGUAGAGAGCGAAGUUAGCAAGUAGACAGGUACUUGUGCACAUUUUAUUGAUUAUUAAGAUAAUUAAAAUAUACUUAAAUUACAAUAAUUCAAAUGAGUGAUAGUUAUAUAGGUCUUAGUCAAGUUGAAAUAUAUACUUGUAGAUAUUGAUGCAUCUUGUUCUAAAGUUUGGCUAUUUGUCGAAGUGUACAAAUUCUUCUAAAUCAAAUAAUUUCUGAAUUUAAUUUGGAAAAAUUGCAAAGAAUAAUGAUAUUUAUACAUAAUGAGUUAAAUAAUGGUUUACAUAUAGAUAAGAUGUAACAAUGAGAGUGUGAAAGUUUAUUGUUAUUAGUAUUUGGUUGAAAAAGUUUCAACUCAAUUACAUUUUACCACAUUAUAUGUAUGUAAAUUAUUAUGUGUAUGUAGUAUAAUUGAAUUGUAAAAUCUGUAAGGGCCACACCCCUGACAUGGGUCUUACAGUGCCCACAAUUUUAGAGAAAAAUAUUUGAGUAGUGCUGUUUGUACAUAAUCAUACAUAGAUGACAUGGAAUAGAGAGAAAAAAGAAUAGAAAUUUAGUUAUUAUAAUCCCUCUCUUUUAGUCAUCAUUAUCUAAUCAUUAUGUACAAAUAACAUUAUUCAAUAUAUGCUUUUAUGUUUCCAUUAUUAAAAAAAAAAAAUAUUUUUCUCAAGAAUUUGUGUGUUUGGUAAUUAAUUGUCUCCCCAAUAGCAUAUAAACAAGGAUAAAAUAUGCAAUAAACUUGAUCUUAAAAUUAGAUAUAUCAUUUUUCAAUCUCUUGGAUAUAGUUAUUCUCUUUUCAAAUUACUGGCGAAUGCAUGUUCGUUGCACAUGUAGUGAGUGAUGUAGUGUAAGUAAAAAUGUUGGAUUUUGGUUUUGUGAAAUUGUAGUAGAAAAUGAAACUUGCUUUGAAUGAAGGUUACAUUGGAUUAUAUAAACAGAUCAUAAUCAGUAUACUUAAGAUGUGUACUAACUGUGACUUCAAUGUAAUUGUCAAUGUAUUCUAUGGUUUACUUGGGGUUCGAUUGCCUAGUUUGCAAAAGCGUUUGAGGUCUUCAAUCUGAAUGGAAGAACAAAAUUAAUUGUACGGAAUCUUCACUGAAUUUAGCUAUGAAAUUAACUAUUGGCAUGACAUUCAUCUACUUUGAUUUUCUUCCAGCAUACGAAGAAAUAAUAAGUUAGCUCAAAAAAGAAAAUAUCAAUGGUAAGAUCAUACGAAAUUUAUGUCCAUGCAUUCCCUUACAUAACCAAAUCCACCUUACUGAAAGAAACUCUGAUGUUAUAAUGAAACAAAGAAAGUUGGAGAGACAUAAUAUCGUGCAAUUGGAGGCAUAAUAUUCAUGUCAUGACACAAUAUUACUCCCUAUGAUUAGUAAGUGCAAACAAAGAAAGUGUUGAAAACCAAAUAUAACAGCUGAAGCAAGAUAGACGAUAUUCUUGAAAUCCUAUAAAUACUUAAUACAUGCUGCAAAAUGCAACCAUUAAGAAGAGUAAUAGUAGUAGUAUGAACAAUUACUUACAAACUUGACCUAAAACCACCGCAAAUGAAUGAUUUUAAGGCUCCGUUUGGUAGUCAUUUUUUUUAAAAUAUAUUUCUCUCUUUCUUCUUUUCAAGCACACAUUCUUUAUUAAAAUAAUAUUACACGUAAAUCAAAUUUUUUUUCUUAUUUCUCAACCAUACAUUUCAAAUUAAUUUACUAUUCUAAAAUGUAUUUUUACAUAAAAAUGUCUAUUAAACAUCCCCUAAGGUGUUUUUGGUUUUUAGUUCAAACAUGAGUGGAGUGAAAUAUGAGAACCUAUGUACUUGACCACAAAUAAUUAUUUGAUAACAUUUGAUUGAUGCUCCAAGUUUAAACAAAUUUCAUAUCUGAUAAUUAGUUCAUCAUUGUUAUUUAGGACCCUUUCUCCACUUCAAUUCAACUUGAAAGCAAAUAACUAACACUUACCAAAACAGAGGAAACUGUCUGGAAUUAUAUUUUUGAUCUUUUUUUCUUUUAUGCAUAAGAGAGAGAAUUCAUUUACUUAAAUAUAAACAAGGCUACAAAGUAUAUAUACUGCGAGACUACAAUGUAUAUAUUUUUGUAUAUAUUUUUCCAUAAAAAUUACAUGGCAUUUCAUUGUUAACUACGGACUUGGGCAAUUAUAAACCUGAAUGUUGAUUUCCAACGUUAAAACUAGUUAGCAUAAUUAAAAAAGUCAAAGUAAUACAAAAUGAUCAAACAAAGUAGAAAGCAAUCAGAAAUAUUGACAAAUUCAAGUAUCACAACAGAAACAACUUGAUAAAUUAGAAAACAGAAUUUUACCUUAUCAAGAGAACAUUCAUACUAACAAAGAAGAGAGUAAUAAACCAAAUUUGACAACGGAAUGCCCUUUUAUUAAAAGAACCUAAGACUGCAUUCUUUUGACACAUAACAUGAUAACACCCUCACUCCAACAAAGUCACCAUUUACAAGAACCCAUAAUUUUCCAAAAAUAAUUUUAGAAGCCGGAUGCAGGUUAGAUACCUAACCCCCAAAAUCACCAUACACUCUUGAGAUUAAUCUUUCUAUUCCUAUAAUCAUCAUCAACAAGAUCAGUUGAAUUAAUUUUAUCCUUACUCAUGAAAAACAAGAGGCUUCAACGAGACUUCUAAACAAAAUCAUCAUGAGAAACGUAAGAUAAAUUGAGAUACAAACAAACUAAUAAAUUCAAAUUAUACAUUUAUUUCUUUUUCUUAUGUGAUGCUUAAUAAGCCAUUGUUUGAGUCUUAUUCUUCUCAAAAUUCUUUUUUUUCACAAAACUCAUUUUCAACCACAUAUUCUUUAAUAAAAUAAUAUUACACGUAAACCCAAAAUUUUUCCUUAAUUUUUGACUACGCAUUCUCCAUCAAUCACUAAUUGAAGAUGCAUUCUUUCCCUUAAAAUGUGGCUCAAAUAAGUAUCUCCAUUCUUUUUAUAGAUUGAAUUUUUAUCUAGUGGGAGACGAAAAUCUUGGAUUGUUUCCUUAUUCCUCUUAUUUCUCUCAGAGGCCUAAGAGUACAAGUAAAUGUAUUUACCCAAAACUAUAAUAAUUUAAAUUCACAUCAACAAAAAUCCAAGUGAUCAUGUAUCAAAGAGUAUCUGCAUUACAUUCAAUCUUCUAUUUCCAUGAAUCCACAAUUAUAUCAUAAUAUACUCGGUAACAUGUGAAAUAAGAAUAACCUGAAAGAUUAAUCAUCCCUUCAUCAUUUCCAGCAAGUGCUCCAAAUUUAUUAAACCCAAAGCAAAGAAAUGCAUGCAUAAUUUUAGAAUCACCUACUCAAAUACAUAUUUUCAUUUGAACCCAACUUUUGAUAACAUACUAAAUUAUGUAUGACAGUGACAAUAUCCAACACAUACAUAACCUUUAGUUGAAAAUUUAUUAGUGUCAACUUCUAUCUUCCUUAUUGCAAACAAUAAAAUAUAGGAUCCAGAUGAUGAUUGAGCUCCCAAUUUGGUGAAAAUUCUAUUCUAAAUUCCACAAAUAAAAUAAGCCAUUUUUCGAUUAGAUAAGGAACAUCAAUAACGCUAGGGUAGUUUUCAUCGUACCAAAUCAAUAAACAAGGAAUAUAACACCAAGUACUACACACUAAUUUUACAUUGCUUUAGCAAUAUUAGCUAAACAGUAAGAAAAAUAAAAAAUUUACAAAACCUACAAAAUCCAAAUUUCUCAUAGAAAAAAAAAGCGCAUACUUUGAAUGCAGCAUAUGACCGUACUCGACAAAUAAUGUGCAAAAUUUUAACAUUUUUUAAUCUUCCUUAAAACUAUCGAUUUUAAUCCACAUUAACAAACAUAUUGUAAUUGAGCUAAUUGACUAACGCAAUGUUUGGCCAUGCUUAAAUGUGGCUCUUUUAGCUGCUUUUACGAGCCGACUUUUAAGCAUGGCCAAACACGUGCCAAGAAGGGCAUCACGUUUAUCAGUAAGAAUAGAAGAUUUAGUCCACAAGCAGCUCAACUCACAUCUUGUACAAAUAAUCCAUAUUAUCAGGAAUCCAAGUCCAACGUUUCACCAAAAGACUUACAUAAUUAAUCUUCAAAAUAUUGCAAGGAUAUUGACCAAUUUCUCGAAACGUUCUCGUGUUUUUCUCUGAAUCGAUCACAACCCACUUGAGAAUUUCACUUCUUGUACACUUUAAACAAAUCCUCAAACGAAUCUGGGACUAUGGAUUUUGACGAAAGGUUUGUUAAUAGUGAUUUUUUGGGCGAUAAGAUUGCAUAAUUGACAGAUAGGAACUCGAUAAAAUUCUUAGGAUGAAAAUUACUAAGUGUCAAUCCCAACAUUAGUUUAAUUGAGAAAGUAUUAAUAGGGUUAAUUGCACCAUAAAUUGGGAAAUUUUUUUAGAAUGUCUAUCAAUUCUUCUUUCUGUAUCACUUGGGAGAGGAGAGAUAGAUUUUGUAAUUUUCCUUUCUACAAAUUAUAUAGUGAAACUCGUUGGUUGCAACUUACAAUUUGCUAGCUGUUGGAUUGGAAUGAGCGACUUUUCGUUUCAGAAAGGUGGUGAUGUUUAGCUAGGCUUAAAGAACUUUAAUUAUAAAUAAACAAGUAAAUUUAAAACUAAAUAAAUUUUUUAUUUGUCAAAAUUGGAAAUUUUGGCUAUCUUAGAAUAUACUUAAAUAUACUUUAAAAUAAUUUUUUUCAUCUAUUAAAGGAGAAUUAUGGAAAAAUCAUGCAUACACAACAAAGGAAUGUAAAUGAUAAAGAUCGAGAAACAACCUAAAAAUUCCAAAUGACAAGCAUAAAACCAGCUUAUUAAAGUCAGCUAAAUCAGUACUAAGUUAGUUAAAGAGGUAGGAAAAAUAAGCAAAAAGAAACAUAAACUGAAACCCAUGAUUGAUGAUGAAAACAAUAGAAAAAAUAAAGCAAUUUCUACACUAAAACAUUAUUAAAAAAAUAUCCCUAAAUAUAGCCUAGAAAAACCAAAAUAAUUCUAAGCAAGUAAAAAAUAAAUAAAUAAAUAAAAUGCAAAAUUACCUUUGAUUCGCUAGUGUUUACUUUAUUACCACCAGCCACGAGAAGUCGUUAAAGAAUCGAUUUACUUGUAUCUUUAAAAAGAUGAGUUUGAUCUUGAAAAAGAUGAAUCUUUCAGUAUUAUUCAUAAUGUCCCAUACCCUUAGAAAAUAAAGAAAGACAUGUUUAAGAAUAUACAGUCAUAGAGAGAGAGAGAAUAUGGGUGUGAAGAAGAGAGAGAGAGAAGUGUGAGAGUGAUGCAUAAUAUAGAUAUAGAGAGAGAAGGUAGGUGAGUGAAUGAGUUUUAGAGAGAUAAAGUGGAAACUCAUUAACAUAUGUGUCAGCCCAUUAAAUCUGUAAACCCAGCAAUGAUGAAACCACUUCAACUCACUCCAGUAUUGCUCAGCUUAGCUAGAAAAUGGCUUACGAACAAUUAAAAAAAAACCCACUCCUAUAUAUUUAGUUAGAAAAUCCCAAAAAACUGGUAUAAAUUAUUUUAACAGGAUUUCACUAUCAUUAUUUGGAACUAUAACAAAAGGUGCAGAAAUUUCGCGUGUUAAUUGUGACCAUUUCGAAUUUUUAGUCCACUUAUGUGACCUCAUCCAUUGCCUUAAUAAGAAUCUUAAUACGUUGGUUUUCAAUUAAUACAAACGUGACUAUAAGUGAAAUAUAAUGCAUCAUUUUAACUUUUAUAUUCAAUGACCGUGACCUUUUAAUAUGUCUUAUUUGACCUGUUAAUUUUUACAUUUUAACUGCAACCAUAAUCCAAUGGUGCAAAUGACAGAAAUGAGGUAGUUUCAGCCUUGUUAGCGGCCCCAAUGUAAUGGUUUGAUUCCUGAGAUAUGAAAUUUGAUUCUUUGUGGAUAUCAGUGUACAGACAAACUCUUGUUCUUUAGCCUGUUGGAACACAUUCCGCGAUUUACCUCUCUCACAAUACUCUAAGGAUGGGGCAGUAGGGGCCUUCAAGGUUGAGGUUCAACCCUUUUUCUUUUUUGAAUAUAUUGCAUCAAUUUGCCUUCAAGUGCACUAUUAACCAAUUUUAAAUCAGAAAUGUGAUUUUAAGAAGAAUAUGACAUAUUUAGGCUAUGUUUGAACCUCAUUUUUUUUUAUUUAAAAAAGUAAACUGCAUUUUGGAAUAGAAGAUUGAUGAAAAAUGUAUGGUUAAAAAUAAAGGAAAAGUUUUUAGGUUGUGUGUAAUAUUAUUUUAUUAAAAAAUGUAUGAUUAAAAAUAAGAGAGAGAAAAAUAUAUUUUAAAAAAAGAUGGGGAUCAAACGGGGGCUUAAUGUGGUUUAUAGUUUUAAUUCCGUGAAGUUUUGCACUCGUAUGGAUGGAUACACACAUUUUAGGAUUUCGAUACGGGAUGGUCACACUGGAUUUUGAAUUGAUUUGGGGAUUUAUUUUUAUUUUUUUUGGGUGUUUUGGAUUUCUUUCCAUUUUCGAGAAUUUAAUUGAUAAAGUUGUUAGACAUUAGUUUAGGAACUUAAUAGUAAAAGUAGCAAAUGAAAUUGCUAAUAGGAAGACAGGACUUAGUGCUAAACACUAAAUAAUUCUCUUAUAUUUGGAAAGAAGAGAGUAUUCAAAAAUGCUGGAAAAGGCAAAGAUUAUAAGGCAGGUCUAUGCGUGAAGGUGUUCUUAGAAAAGAUGGUGAAAAAAAUAGUAUAGGAAAAAUACAUAACUACGAUAUUUCAAUUACACAAUUUCAUAUUUAACAAACUUACAAAAAUAUUCCAAAAUCUGGUGAUAAAUUAUAUUAAUAUAUUAUAUAUUUUUAAAAUAUAUAUUAUUAAUGAAAUUUAAGAAAAUUAGUUAAUCUACAAUAUCUUUAUCUACAAAAUCAUAUCCUAAUAAUAUAUCAUUUAAUAAUUGUUUUUCUUACCCUCCACAAUCUCUCUCUUACACCUCCUCACACUCUCUCUUUUAUAGAUUUUCUAAAUUAGGUGGUCACAUUUUGUUGUGACAUAUAAUUUAAUUAAACAAGUUCCGAUCACAAUAAUACAUAAUUUGUGGUCACUAUUACAAAUUGUACAAGGUCAUAGUUACAAUGACAUAAUUUGUGAUCAUGAUUACAAAUUUAAUCACAAAUUACUUGUUUUAAUAGGUUACAGUUUACAGAUUUUGUAACUGAUAAUAUGUGAAACCUCAAAUGGAAGCCACAUGGAAGCACUACUUGCAUACACGUGGUAGCCAACCAUGACAAAAUAAAGAAAAAAAAGACGAGAAUCACCUUUCCGUCAAGUGCUAUCUCCACCAGGGCUCUGCUGUCGAAGAGCGCUCUCUCGAAUUUGAACUCCUUUCGUUCAAAGCUCUCUCUCUUGUGGUCGAAGCACUUGUUUUAUUUAGAGCAAAUUUGAUGAGUGUAUUUUUAAGAAUGAUUAAUGUAACGUUUGCAUUAAUAAGUGUCAGACAUGUUAAAUCUAGGAAUGUAGAGCGGUUUACCUCUUAUCAAAUGUAUUUGUCAAUGUAAUUAAUGUGUGACACUAUUACGACUUCUGUCAAUUAAAUGGAGCCAUGUAGAUUUGAUUCAACAGUGACUACUUCGGCCUGAUCAAUAUAAAUAACAAUUUUUGUAACAUCGUACGAGAUGAAAAAUAUAUAUUCAAGCUUACAUGCUUAUCACCAUUCUCUUGAUAUUUAUUUGCUUAAGUUACAAUUAUUCAUUAUUACAAUUGUUUCUGGCCAUGUGCAUUUCACUCCUAUUCUCACGUCCAUGGUAAGCCGUCGAAUUUUAGACCAGAUAUUCGGGAAAAGCCCAUCGAAAUUUGCUCACAUGGACUUAAGCGGAACCCGACACUCGUUGGCACAUUUUUUGGGGUGAAUAGAUUUAGUCACAAAUUAAAGUUUUUACAGGUCACAAAUUAUAAAUAAACAAGAUUACCAAAUUAACGGAUCACAAUCGCCCUUCAUCUCCACUCCACCUCACCUCCUACCCCACUCCAUUGCUGUUGGCACUACCCAAAUCGUCGCUGCCAACACCACCAUCACCACUUGCAUCCCACCACUACCCCAUCCACCUCCACACAAUUGAACUAUAAUGUUGCGUAUACAAUUUCAUUACCGUUGGUGUUGACACCACCCAAAUCAUUGUCGUUACAACCACAAUUAUAAUUUGAUAUGUUGCAUGUACAAUUUCACCUUCAUCAGCGCCAUCCCAAGUCGACCACCACUUCAAAUCCACAAUCACGAUCACAUCCUUCAAAAUCCACCACCACCAUCGUUUGCACCUUCAACACGCUACGAAUUCAUAGCCAAUAAAGAAAAGGUUGGCACAGAAAUAAAAGAAUAGAAGCACAUAAUCAAAAGCAAAUUUUGGUCUGAUUGAUGGAAUAGUGGCGACACCAUGGGUGUAGGUUUGCCCGCCCUAUCAAUAAUGCCUGAAUUCGAAAUUUCUGAGAUUCACAAUUCACGAAUUCGAAUUUUUUCUCAUAGAUUUUGUGCCCCACAUGGUGUUAUGAAACCAAUCGAAGUUGGAAUCAUGUUUGGGAGGUGAUUUCACCAAUUGUCGGUAGUGGGAAGUGGCGACGACGAUGACUGUCGGCAUUCAUGGUAUUGUUCUGAGAAACCCUCCCUCGUACACCAAACAAAAUCCAUUUUGAAGAAAUAAGCAUGUGUACAGGGGGUUCUGUGAUUCCCUCCGAAUUCUCACAUGGGUGGGCCCCAUAUGAGUAAAAUAUUCCCAAUUAAAAAAAGAAAAUCCACCCACCCCUUAUUAUGUGUGUUUUGGAAUAGCUUUGUAAAUCCCUCCCUUGUACACCAAGCAAAAUCCAUUUUAAGAGAAAUUGUUAUAAAGAGAAUAAUGGGUAUGGAUGGGUGAAAUUAGAGGGGGAAAUGAUAAUUAUCUUUAUUUAGUUUCUGUUGAUAUAAAUUUAUUAAUAUUAAAACGUGAAUAACACCUGUUUUAUGAAAAUAGACAAGUCCUUGUUUGAUGGUCAAUAUUUGAAAAAAAUAAUAUAUUUUUUGAAUAAUGAAUUUUUGAAGAAUGCGUUGUUAAAAAAUUGAGAAAAAGUAUUUGAUUUAUGUGCAAAAUAUUUUAUUACGUGAAAGUAUGGUUAACAAUGAAUACGUAAAAAAGAAUUUUAAAGGCCAUCAAACAUGGACUAUUUAAGAUCAGAUUUUUGAAAAAUAUAGUUAAAAUGUAGAAUUUUUCUUUAAUUUUCCCAACUGGUAAACCAUGUUUUUGAUUGGCUAUAAUACGGGCAAGCUGAAAGGUGAUCCUAUUUACAUUUUUUUAAUUUUAUUUUAAGUUAAAUAAACUAAUUAAGUAAUAAAGAAUUGUUAUUAAUAAUCAUAAAAUAAUUCAAAUAAUAUUAAAGCCUAUUUCGUGUUAUUAAAAUUGAUGAAAUAUAUGGUUAAAAAAUUGUAAAUCUCAUAUAAAAUAUGUGAUUAUUAUACUUUGACCCAUUUUUGGACUUUCCAAUGUUUGGCUGCUUUGGCAUUAUCAUUUUAUCAUGCCUUAUUACUUUUCAGUUUAGCUUGGUGUAUGUAAUAGUUGACAAUUUUUUUUUAUUUUUUAAAUUGUGUGAUAUAAUGCAUAGUUUCGCCAUUGACUUUAAGACUUCAAACGAUCAAUGAUCUUUAUUUUUACAUUACACACAAUGUCAAUCAUAAUGUAUACAAAGAAUGUAAAAUUUUGUGUUUAAUUAAGCCCCUGUUUGACAUUCUUAAAAUUUAAAAAAUAAUGUUUUGAAUGGUAGUUUUGAAGAAUGUGUGGUUAAAAAGUAGGAAAAACUUUUGAAUUAUGUGUAGAAAAUUUUAUGUGUAAAUAUAUUAUUGCAAAUGAGUAUAAAAAAAAUACAUUAAAGUACAAUAAUGUCAAAUUGGGUUUAAGAUGAUGGUCAUUCUGACGAUCAAAUUAAAAUUGUUUAGCUAAGUAGAACAUAGUCAGUGAGAUUUGCUAUUUGUACACCGAGCUUUGACAUCUCGGUGUACAAUCCCCUCACAAUAGGAGGUCGUGUCCAAAAAAAUAAAAAUCACAAACCUCCUAUUCUGAAGGAGGCUAUAUACCAAGUUGUCAAACUUGAUGUACUUAUAGCAAAAUUCUACAUGGAUAGGAGGCAAAUGAAUUGUGAAAUAAAUUAAGUUGAUUGAAAAUUGUUGACAAAAGUCUUGACAUAAUCUUAUAUACUUGUGGAAUUCAUGUGAAUAAAAAAUUUCAAAAAAAUGACUCCACCUCCUAUUGUAAGUGUUCGAAUAGGAAGGCUAUCAAUCCCUUGCAGUCAGUGUAGCAAAGUUGAACCGAAAUGUAGAAUGGUGGGACAGAGAGGUAGCUCCAAUUGGUUAGAAGUACACGUGUACGGAAAAAUUACUUCUAGAGUUAAAAGAGUUAACUAUGAAUUCAAGUGCAAGAAGUCCGUGCAAAUAAGAUGCGUGUAAAUGACUUCAGGUUAGCCCCUUCCAGAAACACCAGCGCUACAUGACAUGUAUUUCUAUCCAUUAAAAAAAUUAAAAAAUCAUUAAGGAACCAAACUAACCAGUCAAACACGAUAUAGCAGUUUCACAAACGCGCCGCCCUAAAACUGGAGGCCAAUUGGCCACUAACCGCCAAACCGACACGGUUUCUACUCGACGAUUCCCCCUGAUUUCUCAGCUCAUUGUUUUUCUAAAACUAUAUAUACCUACAAUCAAACUUCAAUUCAGCCGUAUCUCAGACAAUCUUAUCCACUUUCAGUAUAGAAUCUACUAUCAGCCGUAUCUCAGACUAUCUUAUCCACUUUCAGUAUAGAAUAUACUAUCAACCAUAUCUCAGACAUAGUAACACGAAUAUAUAUAUAUAUACACGAGAGAUAUUUCAAUAAUUGGUGGUGGUGGUGGUGGUGUUGUAUAUUUUCAAUUAUCAAUUUGACAUGAAAGUUAAGAAAGGAGAAACAGCAGUACCUUCUCUGACGAGGUCGUAUAGCUCACCGGGAAAUGGAGUAGAAAAUCCCCAAUCUUCUCCGAAGUCAGCCUUCCAGCGAUUGCGCCAGAAAUUAUCGCCGAGGAAGACCGCAUCCGUGGAUCUGAAACCAUCAAUUUCAAGUUCCGAUGAUAAAAACGGUGAGGCUCCGGAGGUGGAUAAAUGGAGCGAAAAUGAGAUGGUGUUUAGGUACUUCGACGAAAACGGCGAUGGUAAAAUCUCAAAAGAAGAGCUACGGCGGUGCGUGAGGGCUUUAGGUGGCGAAAUAUCGGAGGACGAGGCGGAGAUGGUGGUGCAGUUUUCGGACUCAGACAGCGAUGGAAUGUUAGGGCUAGAGGACUUCACAAAGCUAGUGGAGGGCGGCGGCGAGGACGAGAGAAAGGACGAAUUGAAGGACGCAUUCAAAAUGUACGCAAUGGAAAAUAGUGAAUUCAUAACGCCUAAAAGCUUGAAGAAAAUGCUGAAUCGGCUGGGGAAUUCGACCUCCAUGGAUCAUUGCGCAAGCAUGAUAAGCAGAUUCGACAUUAAUGGAGACGGCGUCCUUAGCUUCGAUGAAUUCAGAGAAAUGAUGCGAUAAAUGAUUCAAAAUUUUGAAACAAACAUUUAUGCUCAAGAAUUAUCCAAUUUGGAAGCCCUCUCUCCCCGAGGCAAUUUUUAAAAUGGCUGGAUAAUUGAUUCAAUUUUUCACAAUAGCCUUUUCUGUUGGAAGUACUAUUUUACUCUUACUAUAAUUAUUUGCAAGUUGUAUCUUAUAUUUUUAAGGAUUUAUUAAUCAGGACCUAUAUCUAUAUUCUUCAAUCUUUCAAACACCUUUAAAUAUUCUUUGUAUUUUAGUAAUUCUUCAAAUAUCCUAGGCUGACAUUUCUUGGUUAUAUAUCCUCGAACUAAUCUUUCUGAAAUUUUUUCUUGUAUAUCUCUAUGUUUAGUUAUAAUAUCCUCUAUCUUUCUUAUCUCUUUACUAGUUCCUACAGAAUCAAAUCCUAUAUUAUUUUUACAAUUAUAAUCUAUAUCUCUAUAUAUUUCUUCAAUUUUUUCUUUGCCAACAGAAAAUAUAUUUUCAGACUUUUCAGCUAAUUUAAAUAAAAAUGAAACAUAUUUUUUAUCUAAAAAUAAUAUGAGAUUAUUAUCAUUAUUAGAAAUAGAUAUGGAUGCUUGUGAAUUGUUCAUCAGAAUAAUUUAGGCAUAAGCAUGUAAGAAUAAGUAAAUAACUUACAGUAAUCAAAUGGAAGUAAACAUGCUUUUCCUCCAAUAUGCUUUUAUAGAUGUUUUGCAUGUACUUAAUCAAUCUUCUGAAUCAAGUAAAGAUUAAAAUGUUUUUUGAAAUCAUUUGGAUCCACAACUGCUUUCGCAAAAGGUUUUUCAAUUAAGGUUGCAUUUCUCACUCUAGAUAACUAACCGUGUUUCCACAGACGCUAUCUUACAGUAUUCAGAGUCUCUGCUUUCACCUCUAUCCAAAUUCUUUUCAGAAUCAAGUUCCUAAUUGGAAUGAAAUUUUAAAAGAUAACUCUCACACAAGGUGCUACAAUUUUGUUAGAAAAUUGCCUUUUUCCCCUAAACCAUUCUUCAAAGACGGGUACUUUGACAUGGCUGACAUCCAUUCAAAAUCAAUGUUUUGAAGUCCUUUAAAAUCUCUAUUUGUACUGUCAAGGAAUCAUGAGAAAUUUAACGAAAUCCUUUUAUGAAAACUUUGUUGAACAUAACAAAUUUUAUUUUGAUAUUCAUAAAUUGAAAUUGUACAUGCUUACAAACUAUAUUUACAUACCUUUGGUACUCACCUUAUGAAGUUUAGAACUCCAUAAGUGAUUACCUUAUUACACGCUUUACUAUCUUCAAGCUAUCUAAUAUUUUUUUGAAUACAAGUGGUGUAUACAGAUUACAAAAGAUAUAUCUCUAAGAUACGUUUCUUUAGAGUGUUUUAGAGAUAAGUUGUUUCAAGAUAUCUUCCUUCUUCCUCCUUGCCUCCUUUUAUAAAAGCCUUUGGGAAUCUUAUCUUGACAGGUGUUUUUCACCUUUCUUUGUUGGGUAGUUAGGCCAUCUUAUCUCCACCGAAUUCUUCAUUAUCUUCUUGCUAGGUGGACCUCUUCAUUUGAAAUUAUAUGCAUUAUCUUUUGAGUUUGUCUGCCACUUGUGAUAGUUGGUGGGGAGUAGUCACAAUUAUGGAGACUUUUCUUGUACUAUCUUCUGUCUUUUAGUAGCCACGAUUUUUCUUUAAUAAAGUUCUUUAUUAAAGUAGUGAUAAAGGGCUACUUUUGUCACCAUCACUUUUCCAUUUUUGAAUCAAAGAAUUCUACAGGGAAUUCUUCAUCAUUAAGGGAUGAUUGACUCAUAUCUUCAACUAUACAGUAUUCACAAUGGUGAUCACUGUAAUUCCAAAGUAAUUUGCAUAAUUCUUUAGCCAUAUCUUCUGAUCCAUGCACUUGGUUGGAAAUAAUUACAGAUAAUAAAUGGUCGAGAUAACAAAUAUUUUCUUCUUUGGUGGCCAUCCUUGCAUUGGAGUAGAUAAUAUGAUAUUCAGAUGGAUAUACUCAUAUUUUUUCUUUCUCAAUAAUUAUCUGGGUUACAUGUUCAAAUAUUUCUUUGUACCAUUUUGCUCUUCUGUAGGGCAUCAUGUUUAAAAUAUCUUGAUAUUCAUUUUUAACAACCUUUUGAUUGGCUCUGUGAAGAGCUACUUGCUCUUUUGAUAUCUUGAAUAUCUUUAUUACCAGUAAUAGGUUCAAGUUUUCCCUGUGAAGGGGUUCCUAUUACCUUCUUUUCUUUCCCUUUAUUCUCGGGGAGAGUACUAGUAUUCAUAAGUCCCUGCAAAGGGAUAUUAGAUUUGGUACAAGUAACUUUUGCCUUAAGGGCUAUAUUUUUGCCUCGAAAGCUAUCUUGGAUAUUUUGAAUUUGUGUUUCCAGAUAGAAAACUUUUAUCUCAAGUAUUUGAACUUUCACCCUUAAUUGUUCUAGCUCCAUCCCUGCUAAGAUAAUUAGGAAGAAAGUUAGUUUUACCUUUUAUAUAUUCAAUAUCAAAUUUGAAAUAUGAAAACCAAAUUUGUAUCUUAAUAAUAUAUCUAUUGGCAAUAGAUGGAUCAACAUUAUUUUUCAAAAAUGCUUUAACUUGAGUAUUAUCAGUUUUAAUCAAGAACUUCUUUGGUAAUAGAUAAUCUUCAUAUUUCUGAACUCCUCUUUUACAGCAAUGAGUUCUUUCCUGUUCGUCUCAUAUUUUGUUUCAACUUCUUUAAAUGUUCCUGAUAUAAAACCUGCAAGUAUCUCAGGACAAGAACAAUCUUUUUCACAUUUAUAUUCUUUAUGAUUUUUUUUCACCUUUAACACUGCUCCCAGUAAUAAUCUGAAGCAUCAGUUUCAAGGAUAAAGAAAUCUUCUUCUUGUGGUAUUACAAGUUUGGGCAAUACCUUUAACUCUUCUUUUACUUUCCUUAUAUUUUCACAAUCUUAUUUUUCCCAAGACCACAUAAUAUUUUUCCUUAAUUUUGGAAGAAAAUAAUUUUUUAAUUUGGCACAAUUCUCAAUGAAUCUUUCAGCAUAAUUUAAUAUACCAAGAAAGCUUUGUAAUUGUUUUUUAUCUUUAAUUUCUUCAGAAAAUUCUUGAAGUUUUUCUCCAAUAUGGGAUUGCAAUUGCAAUUUUCCUUCUUUUAUAAAUAAUCCCAAAAAUUCUAUUUCUAUUCUAGCUAUCUCAACUUUCUUUUGAGAAAGUGUAAUACCAUGUUUUUCAUAAUAUAACAAAAUUUCUCAAGAUAUUCAAUAUGUUCAUCAAUAUUAUUUGAAUGAAUAAGUAAAUCAUCUACAUAUGCAACACAGAAAUGAGUAAUUGGUUUGAUUACCUCAUCCAUUCUUUUUUGGAAUAUUUGUGGUGCAUUUUUCAACUCAAAUGGCAUUACAUUCCAUUCGAAUUGUCCUAAAGGAUUGGGGAUACUAAAUGCAGUUAGUGGUUUACUUUUUUCUGUAAGCAUGAUUUGUCAAAACCCUGACUUACAAUCAAAUUUUGAAAAUAUUUUUUUGUUAUGUACUUGUUUAAUAAGGGUGUCCUUAUUUGGCAAGUAGUAUCCAUCAAAUUUAGUAACUUCAUUUAAUUUUUUGUAAUUUAUCACAAUUCUGGCUUUUCCUAUUUUUUAUCUCACUAAGUUUUCUAACCAUAAAGGCUGGGCUGCUAUGUGGACUUUUACUAGGCCUAAUUAUCUUGGCUUUUAGCAAUUUUUUUAUCUGGUCUUUAAAUUUCUUUUGAUCAUCAACACUAUAUUUCAUGGGUUUGACUCUAACAAUAGUGUCUGGAUUGGUUAAUUCUAUUUUUGUCUUUACUUUGUCUGUAUUCCAUUUUUCUAAUGGAUUUUCAGAAUAUGUUUCAGAAAUUUCUUUUUUCAGUUUUUCAAUCCUAUUUUCUGUUGUUAUUUUUAAGACUGUAACUGGUUUAAAUUUUUCUGUACUCCAACAUCCACCACGCUGGGUUGAGGAACUCUGAUAAUUUAUAUCUGUAUAUACUAUUGUAACAGCUUUCUUUAUUUUUUGUGUAAAUAUUUUAUGUGCACAAGGUGUUGUGAACAUAUACUUAUCAAUAUAUUGUGUAAAUGGUGCAUAUUUUAAUAGAAAAUUUUGUCCUAAUAAAAUAUCACAUCCAAUUGUGGUUGACAUGUAUAUUGUAUCAACAAAUACUUCUCUAAAGAAAAUUAGAAAAGGUACUUGCGUAGCAUAUUUGCUGUAUAUUACCUUAUUUUCACCUACUGUUGUAGCGAUGACUAUCUUCUUUGAAUUGUAUAUCCAGUAUUCAGAUGGUAGUACAUUUGGUAAGCAUAAGCUUAUUGUACUUCCUGUAUCUAAGUAUGCAUAAAAUUUAAUUCUACAAUAGCUUUUUAUAUUAAGUGUAAUUUCAAUAUAUGGACUCAUGGGAUUAGUACUUAUUACUCUUUCCAUGAUAACAAUGAUUUCAUAUUUUCAUCUAUUCUUGAUAUGAUGAUUGGGUUAUCAUCAACUGUUAUCUUUAAAUAUCCUUGGCAGAUUUUAUAAGGACUAUAUUUAUCAAGAAAGUUCAUUCCUAAUAGAAUAGGUGAACGAUCUACUCCAUAUAAUUCAUCUUUAUAUAAAAUUAUUUCUUUAGUAUAUUCUUUCUGAUCCUCUCCUAUAAGUAUAAGAGGGAACUUAACAUAUUUUCUUAUUUCAAGAUUAUUUCCUAAAUAAUCCUUUACUUUAUAUUGUUCUGGCAUUUCAAAGUCUAUUAAAUUACUAACAAAUUUAGCAUUUAUAUGACUUUUAUCUGCUCUAGUAUCUAUGAGGACAAGAAGAUUCUUCUUAUAUCCUUCUUGAUUUAUAUAUCUUGCCUUAAUGUAAUAUUGCGAACUUGAUGGUUCAGCAAUACUUAAAUUCUUAAGUCUGCUUAUCCUAGAGUUUUGUCUAGAGGGAAAUCUUGCAAUAAGAUUAUCUCCUUCUAAGCUGACACUAUUUAUUCUUAUUAAUUUUCUUUCGGAAUUAAUUUCUUUAGUUUGUUUAUGAAAAUCAAGCAUUAUUUGUUUUGGUAUAGUGACUUCAUGUUCUUGGUAUUUCCUAGGAGGUAUAUAUUGUGCUAAUUUCUCAAAAUCUUUAUGUAUGAUAAUGUUAUCAGUUAUCUUUCUUAGAUUGUUAUGAUGGCUAGUACUAAAAGCAAAAAUUGAUUUUGUGCUUAUACUAAUAGCUUUACUUCUUCGUAACAUUUUUAAGUUUCCAAUUCUAUAGUAUAGAUUGAAACUUUGGUCAAUAUUUUCAUCAUUUAAUGAUAUUGCAUAAAUUGAUUUUACUGUAAAUAUUAUCUUUUGAUAGACUAAGUUUCCUACAACUGUUCCUAAUAGAGCAUUUAUAGGAUCUUGUAAGAUUCUAUUGUUCAUACAAUAUAUUUCUAUUGGUAUGUUCAUACCUUCUCUAAAGAAUCAUUUUACCAUUAUCUGGACUCCUUCUAUUUCAAUACAUUUUAAUUUGUUUCUUACAUUUUCUGGGAUUUUGGAUAACUUUUGUUUUACCCAUUCUUUUGUAAUUAUAGGAAUUCUUGUUUUUCCUAUAGUAUCUUCUAUAUUGAUAGACAUUUCUUUAUAAUUCAUACUUAAAAUUUUUUUAUUUACUCUUGGUAAAAUUUCUAAGAAUCCUUGAUGAAAUACAUCUUUUUCUUGUAGGUCUAAUAUCUUCUUAGUGAUUCCUGUUUAUUUUUUUAAUAUCAAAGGUAAUUUCUUGAUUUAUACCUUCUAUAGAGUCUUCAACUUCUUCAAUUGUUUCUAUUUCUAUUUCUACUUCUGAUUGUUGUGUCUCUUGAUUCAUAUAUAGUAUCUCCUUAUAAUCUUCUUCUGAUGAUGAUGUAUUUAAUUCAUAAAUGCUACUGCAUUCACUAAUUAGAUCUUCAAAAUAUUCAAUUGGUUCUAUGUCACUAUCUUCUUUAAAUUUUUCAUAAAUUCUAAGAGUUUUAUAUUUUGUCUAUCUUUCUUUUUAGGACAUUGAGGGGCAAUGUAUCAUUUUUCAUUACAAAUAAAACAUCUACAUUUUUUAAUAUUUCUUGGUUUAAAUUUCUUAUUCCAAUUUUUUUUCUUGAAAUAUUUUUUGUGUGGUUUAAAAUUUCUUUUCUUGAAUUUUUUAUAAUUUUUGAAUUUUCUUUUAUAUUUCUUAUACGGUUUAUAUUUCUUCUUAUGGCAUCCAAAUUUUUCAACUUAGCCAAUAUCUUUGUAACAACAUAAUGAAUUUUUUCUUAUUUUAUAUGCAUUUUUAUUUUCUAAAACUUUCCUGCACCACAUACCUAUCAUUAUUUUUGUAAAUUCAAUCCUACUUCCAAGACUAUCUAUUUUUAUUCCUUCCUCUUCUCCUAGAGGUAAUAAUUUUUCAUAUUCUUUUAAUAACUUAAUUCCCGAUGGGAAUGGUAACUUCGUAAAAUAAGAUCUUAAUAUAUGUUUAUUUUCUUGAUAAUCUCAUUAGUUUAAUAUAUAGUAUAUUUCUUCAAAUUUACUAGUAUACCUUUCUAAUUCACACAUAUCACAUAUCUUUAAGUUUUUCAUUGCUAUCAUUCCUUGAUUAUAUUCAUCUUGUUUUCUUUUUUCAUCAUUAGAAGUAUACUUAUCUCCUAAGAAUUCUGUUCUUAAGAUUUUUUCAAAUUUUUUUAAUAUCUUCUGUAUAUUUUGUUCAUUUAAAGUAUUCCUAUUAUUUAAUACCUCAGUUCUACCUGCUCCAUACUUUAUCCUUCCUUUAAUAGUUUCUGAUAAUUUUCUCCACCAUUCAGAAACAAUUCCUUUGAAUGUAUGUUCGAUAAAUUCAAAAGCUGUAUAUGUUUCCCAUUUAUUAAAUUGUAUUGCUAAAUCUGUGCUUUUGAUCCAUGUUUCAAUAGCUUUAUUUUUAUCUACAAAGUCUAGAUCCAACCAUACCCCUGUUGUGUGGAUUGGUUCAUUAUAAGAUUUCAUUAGGUUUAUUUCUUUUAUGGACUGUUUUCUUACAUUUUCAGUAUAUCUUUUCUGUGUUUUUCUAUAUUGGUAAAUACCAUCCUUAUCAGGUAUUGGGAUACUAUAAGGAUAAUCUUGUUCUUCAUCACUAUUGAAUUUUACUUUUAUAUUCUGACUUGAAGAUGGAUUAGUAUUCAUCUUUGUAUUUUUCAUUUUUCAGUUAAUUCUUCUAACUAUUUUUUAUAUUCUUCAUACUCUUCACAUGUAGAUUUUAAGAAUUUUUGUUCUAUUUCUUCUACAUCUGUAAUCAUAUAUUGUUUUUCUUCAUAUUUUUUCCCUUUAUUAUUUUCCUUUUGUGUUAUCCUAAAAUCUUGAGGUGGAUUAAUUAUAAUCCUAUCUUUUCCUUUAAGAUUUUUAUCUAAAAGAGCGUUACUUACUUGUAGAUUAUAUUCUAGAUUUCUAAUCUUUUGUGUAUAUCCUUAAAACUUUCAUUUGUGGUGUUUUUAUGUAAAUAUGGAUAACUAGGUUUUUUAUAUUUUUCAAUCUUUUUCAAAAACUCUUCAAUUAUAUUUUCUUCAUCUACUAUAUUCAUCAUAAUUUUUGGUUCGUAACAUGACUCUGAUACCAUUUCAUCGGAGUGUGCAUCGAAAGGGUUAAGAUUUUUGAGCCAAUUAAAAUCUUCAUAAGUUUUUAAAAUAUUACAAUAGAAUUUAUAAAACUCACUAUUUUUUAUUAAUACUUUUUCUUCAAUAAUUAUAUUUAGUUCUUUAAUUCUUCUUCUCAGGUUAAGAAUUUGUUUAUAUAUAUCAUUUUCUGUUUUGAUUGUACUAUUAUCUAUAGAAACAUUUUUAUUUUUUAAUUUUGGAUCUAAAUAUUUUAUAAAGAAACAUUUUAGAUCUUCUUCUAAAUAUUUUAAUUCAUUUUCUGUUGUGUUUUUUAGAUCAAUAAAAUUUUGUAUAAUAUUUGAGUUUAAAUUUAUUAAAGAUUUUUUGAUCUAUAUUUCUUUGAGAACCUAAUUGAAGGUUUUUAUACAUUGUAGUGAUUUUGGUUGCAAUUUCACAAUAAGGGGUAUUUUUGGAAAAGUUGUUGUUCAAAGGCUAUUCUUCAAAUAUUUAUAUUUUUUGGUCUAAUCUUACAAAACUCCCUUUUAUUUAGGCUAUCUAGAGGUAUUUCCUCCUCUCUCCCCCUCUCCCUCUCUCGGGGUGUGUGUAGAUAUAUUUAAUAAAAAAAACAAAAGGAAUAAAUGAUUGAACUGUUUUAGAGUUUAUUUGGUACAAUUAAAAAGUCAAUUAAAAUCAAUUUUUUGACCAUUAUUUUACUAUUACAGUCAUUAAUUUUUGAAUUUUUUUCUCACAGGUAGAACCCAUUCUAUCUCUAAUAAUCUAAAAAUCAAUUAUCAAAAUUUCUACAAAAUAAGCACUUAUUAAAGUGGUGCAACUUUCAAGCCAUCUUAUUCGGUCCAUAUUUGAUAGGCAUCCUUUAAUUUUUUAUUUUUUUUCCAGAUUUAUUUUUAAUAAUGUAUUUUUCUAAUAAAAUAAUUUUAUACAUGGAUCAAUAAUAUUUUUCUAAUUCUUAACCACACAUUGUAAAAAAAAAUUAUUAGUCAUAAAAUCUAUAUCAAAUAAACUCUUAAAGCCUGUUUGGGAGUGAUUUUGAGAAUUAAUUUUUUGACCGUUAGGAGAAAAGUGGAGUCCAUCUGUGAGAGAAGAAGUCAAAUAUGACGGUUGAAAUAGUGAAAUAACGGUCAAAAAAUCAAUUUUUUGGAUGAAAAAAUCGCUCCCAAACAGGCCCUUAGUCAUGUACACCAAAUAGUUCAUAAAUGAAUUAUGUUCCCUUUAUUUUCUUAAUUUUAUAAUUCUCAACAAUUAAAUUAUUUCAAAAGUUGUUUAAUUACCACUUUCUAUUAUUACUUAGGGAAAAAUUUAUAUAUUGGUAUUAAGUUUGCACCAGUUCAAUUUCUAGAGAUUAAGUUUAAAAUCACAAAAAUCUAAUGUUAAUUCAAUAUUUUAAUUUUACAUAAUAAUAUUAUUAAAUUAAAUUAAUUUACCCACUCCACCAAACCCCAUUCCCACUUCAACCUCGCUACAUGCACGGAAAAUUCAUGAAAAUAGCCUAUAAAAAAAGGCCGUUUUUUCAAGAUGACCUUUGGUCAAUUUACAUACCUAAAAUACCCUUUAUUUAGAUAUUACAUAACAAGUCACUAUAAUAUAGAAAUUUUCUAAUUUAGUCCUUAAAAUUAAAUAUCACUUGGAUUUUGAUUUUUUUAUUUUGAUUUAUUUAUUUAUUAGAUUUAUUUGAUUUUUGUUCGCUCUAAGUAACCCCCUAAUUGGUAUCAGAGUCAUAGAGAUCAUGAAGAAACUCAUAAAAAAUAGAUUACCUGAAAAAAUAAAAAUCUUUAGAUUUAGGUUAACACUUAGAUUUUAUAUAAAUUUAAUAAAUAAUAGAUUAAUUAUUAUAAAGUUAAAGAAAUAUUUAGAUUAUACAUCUUUAAAAUAAUAAUUAAUUAUAAUAUACAAAUAUUUAUAUUUACAUCUUGAUAAAAGCAUAGAGAUCAUGGAAAUUAAAAUAAGAAAAAUAGAUAAUUAUUGUAAAUUAGAAGAAGGAAGAGGAAGUUAUAUAUUUUUAAUUAGGAUAAAACAUAUUCAUAAUAAAUUAAAAAUAAUGACAUUAACAAUAGUUAAAUAUUUACCUAAAGAAAUAAAAGAACGAAUAUUAGAAAAAUUAAUAAUAGGAUUGAUAAAAGAAAUAUAUGUGUGUGAACUAAUUAUUAAAGAAUAUGAUGAUGAAGACUUACUUUAUAUUACAAAGAGAAGUAUGAGUACAAAUGAUAUACAAAUUUAAAAUUAAAUAAAUUACUUAUAAAAAUGGAAAAAAUAUAAGAAAAAAUAUGAGAUAUAAUGUUAAUACCAGAAGGAAUAAGAGUAUCAAAUAAAAGACAAUUAAUAAAACUAAAAUGUGAAAGAUUAAGACUUGAAAGUAAAUAUUUCGGUUUAGUAAAAGAAGAAUUAAUAAAACUAGAUAUAGUCAACAGAAGAUUUGGAAAAAUAAUUGAUAAAAAAGAAGAUAAAAGAUGUAAAUUAACUUAUAUGUUAUAAAGAUAAUUUUAAUAUGUCAAUAAGUGAAUAUAUGGAAGACUUAAAAUCAUUAAUAAAAAUGUUAAUAAAUGAUAUACAAGAUUUAAGAAAUGAAGUAAGAAAAACAAGAAAUGAUAUAAAUAUAUUAAAAAUUGAAAUUAGAGAAUUAAAAGAAAAUAAUAAAAAUAAAGAAAAGAAAAUAGAUAAAAAAUUAAUAGAAAAAUAAAUGACUCGAAUAGGAAAGAAAUAUAUUGAAAAAGAGAGUGUAAUAAUAGAAAUAAGAAGUAUGAAUGAUGAAUUUAAAAAAAAUAUAUAUUACCAAAAAUAUUAAAAUAAGAAGAAUUUAGAGAAAAAAUAUUAGAAAAAUUAAAAGUAGAAGAUAAAGAUGAAUGAGGAAUUAGACUUAUAGAAAAUUUUGAUCAAUUCAGUUUAAGUGAUAUAAGUGAAUACAAAGUUUUAAUGAAUACCAGAGGAGAACCUAAUCCAAUAGGAACUUCUAAAAUAGAAUUACAAGAUUUAGAUGAAAGUUAUGCAACUAUAUAUAAUAAACCAUAUAGACAAUUUUAUGAUAGAGUAAGAGAUAGACAACCACCUAAAGAAAAUAAAUAUAGAGAUAGAUUUGAAUUAAAUGAUAAUUAUGAUAAACUUAUUAACCAUGGAGGAACAAAAUUAUAUUUAAAUUGUAAAAUAAAUACUAAAAAAGUCUUAUUAACUUGGGUAGAUACAAUGAUAUUAUUCUUUUUAUAUAAUAAAGAUGACACAUGGAAAAAUAUUGAAAGAAAAAUAGAUUUCCUAAUAGUAUCCUUUGAAUGAGAUGUUAGAAAUUGGUGGGAAGGAAUAAAUAAUGAUACAAAAAUAUUAAUAAAAAGAAAUGUACAAACAAAAAUAAUAAAAUCAGACAAAUAAGGUAUAGAAAAGUUAGUAGAAUAUAUUUCAGAUGAAUUUUUAGGAGAAAAUUGGAUAAGAAACGUUGAAAGAGAAGAAAUAAGAGAAAAAGACAAUACUAGAAUUAAACUAAUAAAUUUAACAAUAUGUGAUAUGUGUAAAAUUAAAAAAAUAUACUUGUGAAUUUAGAAAUUAUUAUUAUGUUCAAUUUUAUAGUAAUGAGAACUAAGAAGUAUACCAAAAUAUAUAUUAUAAUAAUUUAUCAUGUUCAUGGAGAAUAUAUUUUAAAAUGAAAUUUGAAAAAUUUGUUAGAGAUAAUGUUGAAAUACCUAGGACUUUAGGUUCAAGAAUAAAAUUUUUAUUUGAAAGACUUGCACAUAUAUGUCAACAAAAACAAUUAAUGAAAAAAAUCAGCAAAACUAACUAGAAUAUACUGUGAAGAUAUGAAAAAUUCUAUACAGUGGGAAUGUAAUACUGAAAGAAGGGUUAAUAAAAGAAAAUAUAAAAAUAAAAAAUUUAAAAAAUUUAGAAAUUUUAAUAAAAAAUAUAUAAAACCUAAAAGAAGAUAUUAUAAAAGAAAAAAUAUCUCAUAUUGUCAACAGAAAAAAUAAAAGUUAUAAAAAAAAAGUCAAUGUAAAUAUUGGAAUUAUGGAGAAAUAUGUCAUAUAAGCCCUGAUUGUAAUAAAAAGAAAGUUAAAAUAUUACAAAAAAGAAUAUUUGUAAAUAAAAGAUGAAUUGAGUGAAAUAUCAGACAUUGAAGAAUAUUAUAAUCAAAAAGUUUAUAUAAGUGAAACAGAGGAUGAUGAAUCAGAAUCUGAAUAAGGAAAUAGAAAGUAAUAAUAUAAAUAUACAAAAAUAUGAAGGAAUAGAAGGAUAUGAAUUAAAAAUUACAUUUGAUAAGAAUAAAUUUAGAAAAUUAAAAGAUUUAUUUUUAGAUUUAAAAAUAGGAAAAUAGGAAGUUUUAGAUAGAAUUUAGAAAAGAGAAAUGAUAGCAACAAAUGAAUAUCACAAAAUAGAAAAAAAAAAUCAUAGAUGUAAGAACAACAUAUGGACAACAUAAAUUAAAUCUUUUAACAAAAAAUAUGGUUGAAGAACUAUUAACAAAUGUUAGUAAAAAACAAAGUGAAAAAAUCCAAUAUGUUUAUUUAGCAGGAAUACAAAUAAUGUUUAAAUCAUUAUUCAGAGAAGAUAUAGAUUCACCCUUAACUAUAACCUUACAUGAUGGAAGAAUAAUAAAUUUAAAAGAUAACCAUUUAGGAACAGUAGAAAGAAAUUUGGCAUAUCAAAAAAUAAUGUUUACAUUUUACCCAAAAUAUUGUGUAACAUUGAAAGAUAGAAACUUUAAUGAAAUUUUAGGAUUGCAUUUUAAAUUACAUAGAAAUGAUAUCAUGAAAUCAAGUGAUCAAAUUAUGACUAUAGAGUAUAAAACUUUAUACACAUUUACCAAUUCUAAUUAUGGAAACAUUUAUUCUAAUACACCUUAUAUUGAAAUACAUAAAGAAUGUAAGGAUAUUAGAAAAAUAAUAGAACCAAAUAAACUAAUAUGUUUAAUUGCAGAAGAAUAUGAAUUUUGUAUAAUAAGAAAUAAACCUGAAAUAACAUAAUUAAAUGAAUAAGAAUGUUCUAAUAAUAUAACAUUUAAGAAUGAAAAAUUAAUCAAAAGAUCAAAAAGUCUUAGAAUACCUAAUAAAAACCAGUUAGUAGAAUUUAAUAAUAUAAAAGAAAUAAAAUUAUAUAAGAAUGCUGAAAAUAUGAAAAUAGAAGAAGAAUAUUAUAAUGGGAGAGAAUAUAAAUAGACCAAAUAUAUUAAUAGAUACAGAAGCUAGUGAAUGUCAUAUAACUUCAAUUAGAAAUAAAUGAUUAAUAACUUAUAAAACUGAUCCAUAUAGAUGUGUAAAUUUUGAUGGACAAGUACAUAUUACAGAUUUGGAAGUUAAGGUGCUAAUAAAAAUAGGAGGAAUAGAUCUUUUAGUAUCGUGUUAUAUAGAUAAAAAUGUGGAUAUGAACCCCCAUAUACUUUUAGAAAUGAGUUUUUUAAAUGAUUAGAAGAUUAUAGUAUAAAAAAAGAAGGAUUAUAUAUAGUUCAUAAAUUGAUAUGUUGCAUGUACAAUUUCACUAUCAUCAACGCCACCCCAAGUCGACCACCACUUCAAAUCCACAAUCACCAUCACAUCCUUCAAAAUCCACCACCACCACCACCGUUUGCACCUUCAACACAUUACAAAUUCAUAGCCAAUAAAAUCGUCGACACAUAAAGAAAAGGCUGGCACAAAAAUAAAAGAAUAGAAGCACAUAAUCAAAAGCAAAUUUUGGUAUGAUUGAUGGAAAAGUGGUGACGCCAUGGGUGUAGGUUUGCUUGCCCCAUCGACAAUGCCUGAAUUCAAAAUUUUUGAGAUUCACAAUUCACGAAUUCGAAUCUUUUCUUGUAGAUUUUGUGCCCCACAUGGUGUUAUGAAACCAAUCGAAGAUGGAAUCGUGUUUGGGAGGUGAUUUCACCUGUUGUAGGUAGUGGGAAGUGGCGGCGGCGAUGAUUGUCGACAUUCAUGGUAUUGUUCUCAGAAUCUCUCCCUUGUACACCAAGCAAAAUCCAUUUUGAAGAAACAAGUACGUGUACAGGGGGUUCUGUUAUUCCCUCCGAAUACUCACAUGAGUGAGCCUUAUAAGAGUAAAAUAUUACAAAAAAUUAUAAUAAUAAAAAAAUCCCUCCCCCCCCCCCCCCUUGAUAAUGGGUAUGGAUGGGUGAAACUAGUGGGGAAAUGAUAAUUAUCUUUAUUUAGUUUCUGUUGAUAUAAAUAAAUUUAUUAAUAUAUUUAAUAAUAUUAAAACGUGAAUAACACCAGUUUUAUGAAAUAGACAAGUCCCUCUUUGAUGGUCAAUAUUUGAAAAAAAAAAAUUUGAAUAAUGAAUUUUUUAAGAAUGCCUUGUUAAAAAAUUGAGAAAAAGUAUUUGAUUUAUGUACAAAAUAUUUUAUUGUGUGAAUCCGUGGUUAACCAUGAGUAUGUAAAAAAGAGUUUUAAAUUAAAGGCCAUCAAACAUGGACUAUUUAAGAUCAGAUUUUUGAAAAAUAUAGUUAAAAUGUAGAAAUUUUCUUUAAUUUUCCCAACUGGUAAACCAUAUUUUUGAUUGGCUAUAAUACGGGCAAGCUGAAAGAUGUGCGCCUAUUUACAUUUUUUUUUAAAAAAAUUUAAAUUUUAAGUUAAAUAAACUAAUUAAGUAAUAAAGAAUUGUUAUUAAUAAUCAUAAAAUAAUUCAAAUAAUAUUAAAGCCAUAUUUGGUUGAUUAAAAUAAGAUUUUUGAUAAAAAUUGAUAAAAUAUAUGAUUGAAAAUUGUAAAUCCCAUAAAAUAUGUGAUUAUUAUACUUUCGCCCAUCUCUGGACUUCCCAAUGUUUAGUAGUUGGCAUGAUCAUUUUAUCAAGCCUUAUUACUUUUCAGUUUAGCUUGGUGUAUGUAAUAGUUGACAAUUUAUUUAUUUUUUACUUUUAAAAUUGUGUGAUGUAACACAGUUUCGCCAUCGAUUUUAAGACUUCAAACGAUCAAUGAUCUUUAUUUUUACACUUCACUCAAUAUCAAUCAUAAUGUACACAAAGAAUAUAAAACUGUGUCUAAUUAAGCCCUUGUUUGACAUUCUCAAAAUUUUAAAAAUAAUGUCUUGAAUAGUAUCUUUAAAGAAUGUGUGGUUAAAAAGUAUGAAAAAAUUUUAAAUUACGCGUAGAAAAUUUUAUGUGCGGAUAUACUGUUGAAAAUGAGUAUAAAAAAAAAUACAUAAAGGACAAUAAUGUCAAAUUGGGUUUAAAAUGAUGAUCAUUCUAAAGGUCAAAUUAAACUUGUUUAGGUGAGUAAAACAUAAUCAGCAGGGAAGGAUAUAUAAAUUUACUAUUUGUACACCGAGCUUUGACAUCUCGGUGUACAACCCCUCACAAUAGAGAGCCGUGCCCAAUAAAAAAAUCACAAGCCCCCUGUUGUGAGGGAGGUUGUACACCAUGUUGUCGAACUUAAUGUACUUAUAGCAAAAUCCUACGUGGACAAGAGGCAAAUGAAUUGUGAAUUAAAUUAAGUUGAUCGAAAAUUGUUGACAGAAGUCUUGACAUUAUCUCAUAUGUAUGUGGAAUUCGUGUGAAUAAAAAAUUUCAAAAAAAAUUGACUCCACCUCUUAUUGUGAGUGUUCAGGUAGGAAGGCUAUCAAUCCCUUGUAGCCAUUGUAGCAAAGUUGAACCGAAAUGUAGAAUCGUGAGACAUAGAGAUAGCUCCAAUUGCUUAGAAGUACACGUGUCUGGAAAAAAUACUUCUUGAGUUAAAAGCGUUAAUUAUGAAUUCAAGUGCAAGAAGUUCGUACAAAUAAGAUACGUAUAAAUGACUUCAGGUUAACCCCUUCCAGAAUCACCAGCACUACAUGACUUGUAUUUCUAUCCAUUAAAAAAAAUUAAAAAAUCAUUAAGGAACCAAACUAACCAGUCAAACACGAUACAGUAGUUUCACAAACGCGCCGCCCUAAAACUGGAGGCCAAUUGGCCACUCACCGCCAAACCGACACGGUUUCUACUAGUCGAUUCCCCCUGAUUUCUCAGCUCAUUGUUUUUCUAAAACUAUAUAUAUCUACAAUCAAAACUUAUCCACUUUCAGUAUAGAAUCUACUAUCAGCCAUAUCUCAGACAUAUUAACACGAAUAUAUAUAUAUAUAUAUAUAUAUACACACACACACGAGAGAGAUUUCAAUAAUUGGUAGUGGUGCUGCUGUUGUUGUUGUAUAUUUUCAAUUAUCAAUUUGAACUGACGGUUAAGAAAGGAGAAACAGUAGUACCUUCUCUGACGACAUCGUAUAGCUCACCGGAAAAUGGAGUAGAAAAUCCCCAAUCUUCUCCGAAGUCAGCUUUCCAGCGAUUGCGCCAGAAAUUAUCGCCGAGGAAGUCCGCAUCCGUGGAUCUGAAACCAUCAAUUUCAAGUUCCGAUGAUAAAAACGGUGAGGCUCCGGCGGUGGAUAAAUGGAGCGAAAAUGAGAUGGUGUUUAGGUACUUCGACGAAAACGGCGAUGGUAAAAUCUCAAAAGAAGAGCUACGGCGGUGCGUGAGGGCUUUAGGUGGCGAAAUGUCGGAGGACGAGGCGGAGAUGGUGGUGCAGUUUUCAGACUCAGACAGCGAUGGAA